Molecule: ribosomal RNA, 352 nt
Filed under: uncultured bacterium
Lineage: Bacteria
Description: bacterial SSU rRNA
Rfam family: Bacterial small subunit ribosomal RNA
Source: RNAcentral
AGAGUUUGAUCAUGGCUCAGGAUGAACGCUGGCGGCGUGCCUAACACAUGCAAGCCGAACGGAAUUUACAUGAAGCCUAGCGAUUGUAAAUUUAGUGGCGGACGGGUGAGUAACGCGUGGGUAACCUGCCUUGUACUGGGGGACAACAGUUGGAAACGACUGCUAAUACCGCAUAAGCGCACAGCUUCGCAUGAAGCAGUGUGAAAAACUCCGGUGGUACAAGAUGGACCCGCGUCUGAUUAGCUGGUUGGUGAGGUAACGGCCCACCAAGGCGACGAUCAGUAGCCGGCCUGAGAGGGUGAACGGCCACAUUGGGACUGAGACACGGCCCAAACUCCUACGGGAGGCAACA